RNAcentral lists this ribosomal RNA (392 nucleotides) under Glutamicibacter nicotianae. RNAcentral describes it as "bacterial SSU rRNA". It matches the Rfam family "Bacterial small subunit ribosomal RNA", at positions 97 to 503 of the family's 1533-position model. The record is from RNAcentral. Lineage: Bacteria; Bacillati; Actinomycetota; Actinomycetes; Micrococcales; Micrococcaceae.
GGCGAACGGGUGAGUAACACGUGAGUAACCUGCCCCUGACUCUGGGAUAAGCCCGGGAAACUGGGUCUAAUACCGGAUAUGACUGUCCACUGCAUGGUGGGUGGUUGAAAGAUUUAUCGGUGAGGGAUGGACUCGCGGCCUAUCAGCUUGUUGGUGAGGUAAUGGCUCACCAAGGCGACGACGGGUAGCCGGCCUGAGAGGGUGACCGGCCACACUGGGACUGAGACACGGCCCAGACUCCUACGGGAGGCAGCAGUGGGGAAUAUUGCACAAUGGGCGAAAGCCUGAUGCAGCGACGCCGCGUGAGGGAUGACGGCCUUCGGGUUGUAAACCUCUUUCAGUAGGGAAGAAGCGAAAGUGACGGUACCUGCAGAAGAAGCGCCGGCUAACUA